Molecule: ribosomal RNA, 257 nt
Filed under: uncultured bacterium
Lineage: Bacteria
Description: partial small subunit ribosomal RNA
Rfam family: Bacterial small subunit ribosomal RNA
Source: RNAcentral
AGGACGAACGCUGGCGGCGUGCUUAACACAUGCAAGUCGAGCGGAAAGGCCCUUUUGGGGGUACUCGAGCGGCGAACGGGUGAGUAACACGUGAGUAACCUGCCCUGGACUUUGGGAUAACCCUCGGAAACGGGGGCUAAUACCGGAUAUGACUUGGCCUCGCAUGGGGUUGGGUGGAAAGUUUUUCGGUCUGGGAUGGGCUCGCGGCCUAUCAGCUUGUUGGUGGGGUGAUGGCCUACCAAGGCGACGACGGGUAG